GGAGAACCAGCAUCCUACUUCUAACACCACUGAAGAAUUUCACCUGCAUUUGUGCUUCUUGUAAAUGGGAUCCUGCGGCGUGUUCUCUUGUGUGCCUGCCUUCUUCCACACACGGCAUGUCUGUGAGGCUCAUCCAUGUAUUGAGAGCUGAGAGGCGGCUGGCUCUCUUUGUGCCGGAGGGUAUUCCAUUGUGUGAAUGCACCACCAUUGAUUUCUCCAUUCUACAGCUGAUGGACAUUUGGGUUGCUUCCAGUUCGGGGCUGUUAUAAAGAGCCAGCUGCAUGGGUUUUCACACUGGUUGCAGUGUGCUGGCCAGUGCCGGUCCCCCUCCUCAAGUGAAAGCUUCGUGAAGCCAUUUGGAAUGGCACCGGCCCCCGAGCUCCCCAGACAGCAUUGUCAGACUCUGGCAGAUGCAGAUCUUAGAAGAGAAAGGCCGCAGCACUCCACCUGUGAAAACUGCCUCUUGUUUUCAUGGAAAAAAAAAAGUUUCUUUAAAAAAAAAAAAAAGAUCAGCAACUGAGAACAGAAGUCAGCAUUGUUUGCAUAAUCCCAGAGUCUUGAGCAGCUGGCCAUGGGGAAUUUGGAUGGGAGAUAAUAAGGUAACUUAUCUUAUUGAAACAGGAUACAGCCUAACAGUUCUUGAACAAGGACCAGGGUGUACCCAGGGAAGUGGGGAAACGUAUAAGCUGGGAGAGGAAAUGCUGCCAAGAAAGCCUAACUGAACCAUCUCAUCUCAGUGGGUGAAGGGUCUAAAAUGAGGGCCAAAAGCCAAGAUUCUUCAUGCUAAAAGUUGUGAGCUAAAGUCUUCCCUGACCGAGCAGGUUCACAUCACCACCCUGGACCACCUAGAGGAUGCUGCCCGAACUUCCCAUGAAAUUCUGCUUCUCAUCGGCAGAGAAGCGGUGAUAAGUGCACCCUUCCAGGACUUUAUGGUCAAAGAGACACCAGAAUGGAAGUACAGGGAGCACUGAAUAGAGGCUGAUCAAAUGCUAUGUCCCCCACAGCGCCCAUGGGUUGUGACUUAGAUGGGACACAAAUGUAUUUGCUUAAAUAGGCUAUAAAGUGAGAAUUGGGACUUCCAGGCAGCUUCUUUACCACUAGGGCCACAAAUAAACAGGCAAACCCAGAGACAGGAGAUGAUUGGCUGGUGUAGGAAGAGCCGUGGGUCAUAGGUCCAGGAUUCCUCCCAGAGACAGGAGAUGAUUGGCUGGUGUAGGAAGAGCCAUGGGUCUUAGGUCCAGGAUUCCUCCCAGAGACAGGAGAUGAUUGGCUGGUGUAGGAAGAGCCAUGGGUCUUAGGUCCAGGAUUCCUCCCAGAGACAGGAGAUGAUUGGCUGGUGUAGGAAGAGCUGUGGGUCAUAGGUCCAGGAUUCCUCCCAGAGACAGGAGAUGAUUGGCUGGUGUAGGAAGAGCCAUGGGU
Long non-coding RNA from Bos taurus (domestic cattle), 1419 nucleotides. NCBI's taxonomy places the organism in Eukaryota, Metazoa, Chordata, Mammalia, Artiodactyla, Bovidae. The record is from Ensembl.